CUGUCACCCAGGCUGGACUGCAGUGGCGCGAUCUUGGCUCACUGCAACCUCCGCCUCCUGGAUUCAAGCGAUUCUUCUGCCUCAGCCUCCCGAGUAGCUAGGAUUACAGGCAUGUGUCACCACGCCCGGCUAAUUUUGUAUUUUUAGUAGAGACGGGGUUUCUCCGUGUUGGUCAGGCUGGUCUCGAACUCCUGACCUCAGGUGAUCUGCCCGCCUCGGCCUCCCAAAGUGCUGAGAUUACAGACGUGAGCCACCGUGCCUGGCGGAAUUUUCAUAUUUUAAGUCCCCCACCCUUGGACAUUUAGAUUUUUUCCAUCUUUCUGUAUUUGCAGAUAUGCUUCUACGUACACCUUUAUUCAUUUGCUUGAACAUUUCCCUGAGAAAAACUAGAAAUGGAAUUGCCAGAUUACUUUGUGUACAUGUUUCCAAACUGUCCUCCAGAAAGAAUGUAAUGCUUUGAACUUCCACUUGAGAAUCAAAUGUUUACCUUCCUCUGUUCCUCCAGAUUUGGACAUUUACAGUGUUCAGCCGUUGUUGUGGCAUUCCAAUUCAAUUGGGAAACAGCUUGAUGUAGCGUCCCCAUAAGGUCCACAGUAAUUAAAUUUUUUUUUUUUUUUUUUGGUGCGGUAGUGCAAUUUCAUGGCUCACUGCAACCUCCACCUCCCAGGUUCAAGCGAUCCUCCCAUCUCAGCCUCCCUAGUAGCUGGGAUUACAGGUGCACGCCACCACACCAGGCUAAUUUUUGUAUUUUUAGUAGAGAUGGGGUUUCACCAGGUUAGCCAGGCUGGUCUUGAACUCCAGACCUCAAGGGAUCCGCCUGCCUCAGCUUUCCAAAGUGCUGGGAUUACAGGUGGAGACUGGACCUCAGAAGAGGGAGUGGGUGCCCCGAGAACUCACAGCUAGCGGACAGUGGAAAGGGCAGGAGCCGGACCAAGGUGAGGACAGUGGAACUGAAGGCCGCUGGUUACCUCUCCUGCCCUCCGCUGGCCACAGUGGAGAAGACAGCCCCUCCCUCCUGCUCUGACCUGACAGUGUUCAUCCAUCGCCCUGUAUUAGCGAAGAACAACAUCAAGCUGGCUAGCAAGGAACUGUAUACAGGGUCCAGCUGGGUAUCACACUGGAUCUCACCCAAAGCUUAGAUGUGAUCCAGCUCAGUAUCACAAAGCAGAACGAAAAGGAUGUGUUUGGGCUGAGAGGCCAUACAUUGGCUCCGGCAUGACGGGUGACUUCUUCCGAGUCUGGCUUCUGCAGCACACAGGGCUUCGCCAGCACCCAGCUCCUGCAGCAUGGGCAGCUCCUGUGACAGCAGGCGCCCGCAGCCUGCAAAGCGUCUCCAGUGCCGCCGCCUCAGUGAACCUCAACCAGCGGCACCUAGCAGCUUUCUCUGCCACCCUCUUCAGGUAGUUCUGUAGCAGCGCGUUUCUCAUGAGACACUUCCCUGUGAGCAGCUUUUUCUACCCUUGAGGAUGGAUUUCCAGCAAAUUCUGCCCAUGUGGUACCACAGCCACUUCUCUGCCAUUCAGUGAAACUGCCGUUGUGCCCUCUUCAAGGUCUGGAUCUAAGCCCAGGGACCAGGAAACCUCUUGCUUGAGUGCUGGAACUCAGGCCAGAAGGUAUGGCUGCUGCUAUGUGCUGUGACCAGAGAAUCAGAGUUCUCUUUACUUCUUACCAGCCAACCUCUUGAAAAUGCCUUUUUGUUUUUUGUUUUUUUUUGAGACGGAGUCUCGCUCUGUUGCCCAGGCAGUGCAGUGGCUCACUGCAACCUCCGCCUCCUGAGUUCAAGUGAUUCUCCUGCCUCAGCCUCACAAGUAGGUGGGAUUACAGGCAUGUGCCACCACGCCCAGCUAAUUUUGUAUUUUUAGUAGUGACGGGGUUUCUCCAUGUUGGUCAGGUUGGUCUCAAACUCUCGACCUCAGGUGAUCCACCUGUCUCAGCCUCCCAAAGUGCUGGGAUUACAGACGUUAGCCAGAGCGCCCAGUCUAAGCCCUUUAUAGCUUAAUUCUAUAUAUUAAAUUUUCCCAGUUCAAAUUACUGUGUGCUUCCCUUCUCCUGAUUGGACCUUGCUUGAUACAAAAUUAGUACAAGGAGUGGUCUCAAGAGAUAGAUGCACAAAGAAGGGAUAUGGGGACGGAUUUGGGUAUUUGGGCUUGAGUGCAGACUGAGCUCCUUGACAAUGAGAAAUAGGAUAUGUAUUAGGG
RNAcentral lists this long non-coding RNA (2198 nucleotides) under Homo sapiens (human). RNAcentral's name for it is "PREDICTED lncRNA (TCONS_00100438)". The record is from RNAcentral. Lineage: Eukaryota; Metazoa; Chordata; Mammalia; Primates; Hominidae.